Pangasianodon gigas (Mekong giant catfish) is the source of this 72-nucleotide non-coding RNA. The record is from the annotation of a GenBank genome assembly. NCBI's taxonomy places the organism in Eukaryota, Metazoa, Chordata, Actinopteri, Siluriformes, Pangasiidae.
UCUCUGUAGGACUAGUGGUUAGGCCUCGGCACUGUCACUGCCCUGGCCUGGGUUCGAUCCCUGGCCAGGGAA